GGAGCCGUAGCGAAAGCGAGUUUUAACUGAGCGUUCAGUUACUUGACGUAGACCCGAAACCGGGCGACCUACCCAUGAGCAGGAUGAAGCGAAAGUAAAAUUUCGUGGAGGUCCGAACCCACGAGCGUUGAAAAGCUCGGGGAUGACUUGUGGGUAGCGGUGAAAUUCCAAUCGAGCCCGGAGAUAGCUGGUUCUCCCCGAAAUAGCUUUAGGGCUAGCCUCAAGGUGAGAGAUAC
This 236-nucleotide ribosomal RNA is filed under the name Clostridioides difficile. Its description in RNAcentral is "partial 23S ribosomal RNA". It matches the Rfam family "Bacterial large subunit ribosomal RNA", at positions 662 to 897 of the family's 2925-position model. The record is from RNAcentral. Lineage: Bacteria; Bacillati; Bacillota; Clostridia; Peptostreptococcales; Peptostreptococcaceae.